UUGACGCUGCGGGGCUCGAGAAGUGUGAUAAAUCUCCAGGGCCAAUAUCUACCAAUCGGGAGCUGUCCCUGUUGUACUCUUGGGUACGAUAUAUGGCGCCCACCUAGACCUACCGGCCUAGGAUGAUUAGAUGCGGACCGACCUACGCGGCGUCACC
This 157-nucleotide non-coding RNA is filed under the name Rhodospirillales bacterium. RNAcentral's name for it is "6S RNA". It matches the Rfam family "6S / SsrS RNA". From Rfam's summary of the family: E. coli 6S RNA was the first non coding RNA to be sequenced, but its function was unknown until recently. It consists of 184 nucleotides that fold into an extended hairpin structure with a large single-stranded internal bulge. The 6S RNA specifically associates with RNA polymerase holoenzyme containing the sigma70 specificity factor. The record is from RNAcentral. Lineage: Bacteria; Pseudomonadati; Pseudomonadota; Alphaproteobacteria; Rhodospirillales.